CUGAGAGGAUAACGAUGGUUUAGUUUACCUGCCUUGGACGCAGGAGGUUGCAGGUUCGAAUCCUGUCUCUCAGA
Molecule: transfer RNA, 74 nt
Filed under: Flavobacteriaceae bacterium
Lineage: Bacteria; Pseudomonadati; Bacteroidota; Flavobacteriia; Flavobacteriales; Flavobacteriaceae
Description: tRNA-Pro
Rfam family: tRNA
About the family: Transfer RNA (tRNA) molecules are approximately 80 nucleotides in length.
Source: RNAcentral